RNAcentral lists this long non-coding RNA (7359 nucleotides) under Vitis vinifera (wine grape). RNAcentral describes it as "long non-coding RNA (VVIN_LNC007070)". The record is from RNAcentral. Lineage: Eukaryota; Viridiplantae; Streptophyta; Magnoliopsida; Vitales; Vitaceae.
CUAAUACCAGGAGAUGUUCACCAUCAGGCUUGGGAAAUGGGUAGGUGGUUCCUUGAGUUGGCAAGAUAACAAUGGCACCAUGAACAGUGGCCCUUGUCCAGUCACUAUGGGCAUGCCACCAAAGGGUUCCUUCCUGAUCUUCACCAAAUAUCACCUUGUAUGUGAAGUUUGUUCCUGGCUGAAUCCUGCAUUGAGUUAUGUGGUCUGGACCAUCUGACCAUGGAUUCCUUGUUUGCUUCACUCCAUGCCUGCAUCACAACAUUCUCAUAUGUAAUUUAUCUUCCGCUCACAGAGUGUAUGAGAAGGAGAAGUAUCGAUCCGUACCAAUGGAUAGUGACACCAAAAUCGUCUUGAUUGUGAACGUUGACAUACACCAGGUCGCCUCUGUGAAUACGAAAUCAUGGUUCAAAAUCUCGGUCGAGACCGGUACGACUCGGCCGAGUCGUAUCCGCCUCGACCAUGGCCGGUACCGGACCGAUACCCGAGUUGGAGUAGAAAUUGUGGAGAAGAUCAGAAUCAUCAGAUGAGAGGAUCAAAACCCACGAAAAUGAAAAAUACAGAGUUAGAACCCUGCAUCUUGGAGUCGCCGGCGAGGUUGAAGAAGCACGCCUGCUUGUUCGGAUUGCCCAAGUUCCCGCCGGAGAUGGAACUGAGCGACAUGAGGAGCAGAGUCGCCGGACUUCGGCACCGCUGUUAUCAUCGACGGUCCUGAUGGGUUUGCAGUCGGGACAAACUGUGUUAUGGAACUUCUGCAAGGAUUUGCCUCCAGUGAUCAUGUAGGCUGACAUCCCACUCAUGGUUCAAAAUCUCGGUCGAGACCGGUACGACUCGGCCGAGUCGUAUCCGCCUCGACCAUGGCCGGUACCGGACCGAUACCCGAGUUGGAGUAGAAAUUGUGGAGAAGAUCAGAAUCAUCAGAUGAGAGGAUCAAAACCCACGAAAAUGAAAAAUACAGAGUUAGAACCCUGCAUCUUGGAGUCGCCGGCGAGGUUGAAGAAGCACGCCUGCUUGUUCGGAUUGCCCAAGUUCCCGCCGGAGAUGGAACUGAGCGACAUGAGGAGCAGAGUCGCCGGACUUCGGCACCGCUGUUAUCAUCGACGGUCCUGAUGGGUUUGCAGUCGGGACAAACUGUGUUAUGGAACUUCUGCAAGGAUUUGCCUCCAGUGAUCAUGUAGGCUGACAUCCCACUUCUACAAUCACCUGUUGAGGCACCACAAUCCAGAGGGGCAGAGGCCAAGCUUUUCACCGAAGGCAUGCUGUCCUAACUCACUCUCAAAUCGCUUUCCAAAACCAUUUCACACCGGAGGGUUAUGGGUAUUUGGAGGAUUUAGGUUUUAAAUAAUUUGUAUUUAUUUUUUAAUUAGAUUAUGAGUAUUUGAUGGGAUAUGGAUUUUAAAUAAUUUGAUAAAAAUUAUAAUGAUGAAAAAUAAAUAAUAAAUAUUAGACUUAUAUCAAAUAAAUAUUUAUAUAAAAAUUAAAAUUAAUGAAUACAUUUUAUAAGAAAAAUUAUAUUUAUUUUUUUAAAGAUGAAUUAUGGUUUUAUUUUUUUAAUAAUUGAAAACAUUUUUAAAAAAAUUAAAAAUAUUUAAUUUAAAUAAUUUUUUAUUAAAAAAAUUUACUUUUUAUUAUUUUCAUCUUCAAUAAGAAAUAUUUAUCAUCAAGUAAUUAAAUUAAAAUAUUUUUAAAGAUUUUUAAUAUUAUUAUAAAUCAUCCCAAAAAUAUGCUUUUAUUAUAAUUUGAAUCAUUUUAAUAUAAUAGAAGUUUAUUUUAUUAAUUUUUUUACUCUACUUAUUUGUAUUUUAUUUUUUUAAUAAUUUUCAUAAUUUUUUAAAAUUAUUUUGAGCUCUUAAAUUAAAUUUUUGCGUAUCACCCGAUACCGAUCCGAGAUACCGAUACCGAUGUGCCUCAGGACCUCCCGAGUCAAUGACCGAUACCGCGACUUUGAACCCUGCGAAUCACCGGCCCUGGAAAGCUGUCAUUUACAGUCGUCAUGCUCUUUGUGCUGCACAGCCUCGUGAAAUUGGUCUCUUUCAGCUGCAAAACAUCAGAAUACCCAGAAAGAAAAAACGCUGGUUGACUGAAGAAGGUGCUAAAAUAGUACUCACAACAAAAUCAUAGGAAUGGGUGCGCCCUUCAGCCAUGGAAGCUAACAUUCCAGUCAAAAGCGCAGGCACUAGCACCUCUAAUAAAAACCUCAUCUUCUUCAUCUUCACUCAAAUUCAAGCAUUAAACUCUUUGCUUCUUGAUCCUUUUAUUUCUGAGCUUGUUUUCUCUCUGAAGCUGAACAUGAUAUUUAACUAUUUAUAAUGAACCGUAGUGAUCCUACCAAUGGGUCAUGGACAUGGUAUGUGGGCUGCGCUGACUUACUGUUUUAAAGUGAAUUAUUUGAAGUUCCCAAAUUAACCCUGGUAUGGGAAAGUUUCAUCAAUCAAUUAUAAUUAUUUAUUUAUAUUUUCCAAAGAUUAUAUCCAUUAAUCUUUUGUGCUUACUUCUAGUUGUUACAAAGUUGGAUGGGAGACUCCAUCAACCCAAGCAUGCAAGACCCCAACCAGAUCCACAAUCAAGCGGGUCCCCUACACAAUUGGAAGUUGUCGGUGGUCCUCUCUCUUUGUGAUUUUUCAUUUUAUAAUAUUUUAUUAAAAUUUCAUAAUUUUCUAGCUAUACGACAGCUGGUUAGUGCAAAAAAAGAAAAAAAAAAAAAAAAAAGAGUUAAUCAAAUCUAGCUACCUUUCAAUGGGCGUCUAAGCAAAUUUUGCGAGGUCCACAUUUUUGAAUGGCAAGCAACCGAAAUUUCCGAGUAGAAACAAAUAAAAUAAUCCAAAAAAUAAUUAAAACGCUAACUCGUUUAAAAUCAUUUUUCAAAAUUAUUCUCUAAUUUUUUCUAGAAUAAAAAAAAAUUUGAACUUAAAAUAUUUUUUACCUGUUUUUAAUUUUUUUAAAUAUAUUUAAAAAAAGUUAUAUUUAAUAUUCUAUUUUUAAUUAUUUUACAUGUUUCUAUAAUUAUUUCUUAAAACAAUCUUAAUAAAAUAAGUGAAAACAAUAGAAAAUAAUUAAUAGAUGUUCUCUUAAAAACACCAUGCUUUUAGUUCAUAAGAUCGAAAAACAAAAAACAAUUUUUAAUUAUCAUGUUUUUUAUUUUAAAGAAUAGAAAACUAUUCUAAAAAAUAAUUUUUAAACAAGUCCUAUAUAUAUAUAUAUAUAAAAUAGUCUACAUUGACCUAAAACUCUCAAAUUUAAACACAUUAAUGAAAUAAUAAAUCAAUAUUGCAAUAAAUAAAUUAACUAAUGUUUUUCUAGAAAGGCACAUGUAGAUAUGUUAUCCUAAUCACCUUUCUAAGUAUAGGUGGCAACAGUUGAAUUGUCCAUAUCUUAAUACCCAACGAAAGAAGAAAAUAAAAUAUAUUUUAACUUUGAGUGAAGUUGGCAAAAUUCUUGAGGUCACUUCAAAACAUAAGUAAAAGAUUUUGUUAUCAUAGACAGAUAUGGAAAUGUUAUACACUCAUAAUUCUAUGAAGGCCCAUAAAUGCUAUCGUAAAAAUAUUUAAAAGAUUAUCAAUUACAUUAUAAUUGAUAAUGACUUAUCAAACUAAUUAAUAUAUAUAUAUAUACUUUUAUUCCAUUUUUAUAAUAAUGGCUUCGUGGAGAAAUUGGUUAAGGUAUUGUAGUGCAUUGAAAAUAAUAAUAAUAAUAAUAAUAAUUAAUAAUAAUUAAUAAUAAUGGGUGGAGUUGGUGAAAAGAAAAAGGAGAAUAAGAUAAUAAUAAAGAAAAUUAAAGAAGGGUUAUGGAGAAGAGAUGCCAAUUCCCAUGGUAAUGCAUAUAGUGAAUAAAAAUUAAAAUAAUAAUUUAUUUUUAAGGUAUUUUUAUUUUGGACCGUAAAUAAAAAAGAAUAAUAUGAACUAUUCUUGAUAAGGAAAAAAGUGAUAAAAAGGGGUAUAGUAUGAAUACAAUAUUUUUGAGGAAUCUAGUUUAAUUAAAUAAGCUAAAAGAGAAAUAAAUUAUUACGAUAUAAUUUGGUAGGAAUAUGAGUUUUAUAAAAAUCUAGAAAUUCACUAAUUUAAAUUACUGUUUAGGAAGUUGAAAAUAAUAUUAGUGAUAAUAAUAUUAAUUAGGAUUACUAAUACUAAAUAAAAUAUUGAAGUUGACAAGGUAGCAUUAUAUGUAAGUUGGCAAGGAUUUUACAUUUGUGAAAGAUUGUAACUAUUGAAGUAUAUAUUAUGAUCUCUAAUCAAGGUAGUUAAUGUGGAUGACCAAUUAUUUGAUUAAAAAAAAUUAUGACCACCGUAUGGGAUGUGUACUACAAGCAUAAACUUUUCCAUUUUAAGAGAUCACAGUACAGAGAAGUUGUUAUUUCAGAAAGACAACUCUCAAGAAAUUACAAACCCUUUAGAUUUGAAGCAAAAUACCAAAUCAGUUGACAUUUAUCUUAUCAACUAGCUCAACUGAAUCCCGGAAAUCUUCAAGCCUAAUAGGGGAUUGAGCUGCACAAGAAGGCAUGUAAGCAGGGGGUGGUAGGAUACUGGUGUCCGGGGUUUCACCAUUCUUCACUAUGAAAGUAGUGUCCAUUCCCCAUGUGAGAUGUCUAUCAAUAUGACAAUGCCAUAGCCAUACACCUGUAAAGAAAUACUGAGAAUGGUAAACAAAAAGAUUUCUGCAACCCUGAAAGUGAUCUCUUAAGAAACAUACGUACCAGGAUUAUUUGCUAAAAAUCUGAGGGCAACCCAUCCAUUCUUUGGAACUGUAAUGGUGUUACGUUCAGACGGAUCGACCAAAUUGUACGAUUUUGGAUCAGUCUCAUUGUUGAAAACUCCAGUACCCAUCCCAACCACAUAAAAGGUGUAUCCAUGCAAAUGCAUUGGAUGAUCUGAGGCUUGGCCUUGCAGGUUAGUCCCCUGGAAUACUAUCUCCACUGAUUCAUUAUAAUUGAACACCUUCACUUUUGUUGCCACUACAGACAAUGGAUGAACAUGAAUAUCCCCAGUGAAGUUAUAGUAAGAAGGUGGGUAGUCUGGAAAAUCUGUAGUGUAAACCCCGCUGGUGUGCCUGCAAUAAAGUUUUCAUAAUGUCAUUUUCCAAGCAUGCACAUACUAAUAUCAGACUAUUGUGAAGAAGAUUUUUUUAGCUUGAUGUUUCCUUGUAGACAUCGAUGUCCUUGUUGAAUAAGAAAAUGUGUUGGGAAUAUGUUUAUAGAAAUUUUAUGUCAUGAAGGGAGAAACUUCCGAGAGAACAUCUGCAUCUAGCGAUAAUUAUACCAAUCAUUUGGAGAGGUAAGAGACAGAUCAGAGACCCAUUUUGGGGCAAAGAAAUAGAAGAUGUUACAGAGCUUAAGUUCAUCACCAAGAUACUAGGAACGAUAGGAACAUUUCUCCCUAAUUUCUCUAAUUAGUAAUUUCAGGCGCCAUAUAUGGAAUGGAGAAAUUUUUCUCUAAUUUCCCAUGCCCUUAGGAUUUCCUCAGUGCUCCUUGGGUCACUUAAAAAGAACCUAGCUAAAUAAUGAAGACCACCACAAUGGCCAUCAACAUGUACUUUAGGCUAUGUUUGGUUCCUGAAAAUUUUGAGGGAAAAUGCAAAUGGAACCAAAUAUUAACAGCCGUGAGAGGGAGAAGGACAGAAAGAAAUUAAGAGAAAAAGAAAGAAUGAAAGAAGAGAAGAUGAUGGCCUUUUGAGGAAAAAAAAAAUUUGGGAACACGCCUACAAGCUGCUUUUUGGGGCACACUAUUUAAGGAAGGAUCACUCAACUCUAGUAUUCAAACACAACAUGAUUAAUUAGUUUGUAGAGAAAAGAAUCAAAGAAACAAAAUAAAGAUAGAGAAAAUAUAUAAUAAACAAAGGGAUACCAGUACCUGUAAUAGGCAAGCAGAAUACUUGAAGUUGGGUCCAUAAAAGUGAUGUUGUUCAAGCUGGCACCAAGAUGGCUGACCUCUGUCCCCUCAAGUGUAUAAUUAACCAAAUUUAUGGAAGCUGUAAUGAACAUCCUGGUAGUUAUAUUGAGUGGGACAUUGACUGGGUGCUCUGGGGUUGCUAAGCUCCUCAAGAGGGGAAGAAAGCCCAAUCCAGACUCCCAGUCAUGGAAUAAGGGAAGGUUAGUGGGAAAGGAAGGUUCGUCCGGGGGAUUAUAGUUCCCUCUAUACUGAAGAAUAGCGGUAGCCGUCAUAUUAUUGAAGGUAGCAUUGGCGGUAAAGGUUGUGAAUCGUCUUGCACCCAUGUAGUAAUGACUUAAACUCUGGUUUGUUGUGAUCAAAACAUCCAUAGUUUGGCCUGGGGCUAUCAUGAUAUAACUGGUCACUUUUGGCUUAGUGUAGGUUCCGUCCGUGCCAACGAUAGUGAGGUUAUGCUCAGAUAUGGCAAAGAAGAGUUCUACAUUAACCACUGCAUUCACUAUGCGAAGAAGAUAGGUCCCGCCAUAGUCCACCAGCAAACGGUGUGUUGUCUCUGCAUGCAACACAUGAAUUAUGGUUAUCUAUGUAAGUCUUAAGAGUUUUUUUGGUAGUGAUUCUAGGAAAUGUUUCCGAGCCUUUCUAACUCUUAAAAAUAACCUUUUUUAACAAGAAUUUUCUAACAUAUAAAAAGUUGGCUGCUAAAAUCACAACCAAAAAAACUCUAAAUAUAUGAUUUAGUAUUUCCUCUGGCCUCUAGCCUUUGGCUGGGUGCAUAGAUGUUUACAUACCACCACCGCAUGGGACAAGAUCUCCUGGUUCGCCGUUGAUGGUGAAAGCAUUAUCAUCCAGUAGUGUUUCAAAAGUUUGAUUUGAAAAGAACUCCUCAUAUUCCUUGUUCAAGUCUCCUGAAAACCAAGAUCCUGCAAGUACAAUAAAAAUAAAAUGCAAUAAACCCCUAGUUUUUUUUUCAACUUGUUUUAAUAUCUUUUGUUAGUGUUUCAUUUUGGUGUUGAUUUCAAUCACAUCCGAGUAGGAUUUAGCAACUUCAUUGGUUAAUAUAUUUCUAUAAGUAUAUUUCAAAAUUUUAUAUGGGGAAACAGACCCUGUAAACGAGAUUUUAUUAUUGAAACGUGAUAAGUAAUUUAUCAAAUAUUUAUAUAUGGAAGUUUGACUAUAUGUACCUAAUACCAGGAGUUGUUCACCAUCAGGCUUGGGAAAUGGGUAGGUGGUUCCUUCAGUUGGCAAGAUAACAAUGGCACCAUGAACACUGGCCCUUGUCCAGUCACUAUGGGCAUGCCACCAAAGAGUUCCUUCCUGAUCUUCACCAAAUAUCACCUUGUAGGUGAAGUUUGUUCCUGGCUGAAUCUUGCACUGAGUUAUGUGGUCUGGACCAUCUGACCAUGGAUUCCUUGUUUGCUUCACUCCAUGCCUGCAUCACAACAUUCUCAUGAUUAAUCUUCCACUCACAGAGUGUAUAAGAAGG